GACGAACGCUGGCGGCGUGCCUAAUACAUGCAAGUUGAGCGAUGAAGCUUGGUGCUUGCACCAAUUUGAAGAGCAGCGAACGGGUGAGUAACGCGUGGGGAAUCUGCCUUUGAGCGGGGGACAACAUUUGGAAACGAAUGCUAAUACCGCAUAACAACUUUAAACAUAAGUUUUAAGUUUGAAAGAUGCAAUUGCAUCACUCAAAGAUGAUCCCGCGUUGUAUUAGCUAGUUGGUGAGGUAAAGGCUCACCAAGGCGAUGAUACAUAGCCGACCUGAGAGGGUGAUCGGCCACAGUGGGACUGAGACACGGCCCAAACUCCUACGGGAGGCAGCAGUAGGGAAUCUUCGGCAAUGGACGAAAGGCUGACCGAGCAACGCCGCGUGAGUGAAGAAGGGUUUCGGAUCGUAAAACUCUGUUGGUAGAGAAGAACGUUGGUGAGAGUGGAAAGCUCAUCAAGUGACAGUAACUACCCAGAAAGGGACGGCUAACUACGUG
Molecule: ribosomal RNA, 497 nt
Filed under: uncultured bacterium
Lineage: Bacteria
Description: partial 16S ribosomal RNA
Rfam family: Bacterial small subunit ribosomal RNA
Source: RNAcentral